This 597-nucleotide small RNA is filed under the name Histoplasma capsulatum. RNAcentral's name for it is "hypothetical RNA". Lineage: Eukaryota; Fungi; Ascomycota; Eurotiomycetes; Onygenales; Ajellomycetaceae. The record is from RNAcentral. RNAcentral also lists the same sequence under 1 other name.
CCAAAGUGAGGCUGGCAAAGUUGCUCUCUUCGGGCCAAUCAGCGUGGGCGGAUCGAAUCUCGGUGUGUGUGGAUGCGUGUGUUGUUGUCUCGUUUUCAACGUCAACCUCCAUCCUCAACUCAUUUUCGACUCUUCUUCUCUUCUUCGAUUGACAUUCCUCACCUCAUUGAUGCUGCUUAGUUUCUUCCUCGCGCCGUCGCUGCUCGUUUCGUGCUCACUCGUGUUUCCCUCUCCUUCAUCGUUUGCCGCCAAGUUUGCCCUGACCCUCACUCCUCCCACCCCUUGGCCUGUUGUCUUCCCACCUUGAUAUUUAUAUUUCAUUUGUCCACCGUUGCGUUUAAAAGUUUGUGCUGGGCGUCGACCUCGUUUGAGAAGAUUGUGCUGGUUGCUAUCAGUCAUUCGCGCGCCCUCUGCACGUCGAACUCGUCCAGAUCCGUCAUUCCCCUUUUCAUCUCUCCCGUCCUUGCUUAUCAACACCGUAACCAGCGACCGAUCCCCAGCAAUGGAUGUUGCUCUGGACCCCAGCGUGAACGUCGAGAAUCCAGUUGCCCCAGCUCUUCCCCACAAUUCAUCUUUGAUGGAACACUCCCAACCCCG